GACCUAAGUGGCUGCAAAAAUACUUACUGCAGAUUUCUGUUUACACUCUGAUUGGUGCACAGGAGCAAACAGACAGUGCAAUUGUACGUGUAUUUACCUUUAUGUCACUGUACCUUAUAUUUUAUUCCUUUCUUUAAAUCCAUAAUGGAGCGCGCGUCUCGUGGCACCCAAGCGUCCCGCCUGCUCUGAUUGAUGCGCGUAAGGAAACAAAAUGCAACUCUGCCUGCCCCAGAUGACACUUCACCAGUCAGAUCUAGGCACAGCUGUCACAGAACAUGCUUCAGCCAAGAGCUCAGACACCAUUCUACAACACUGGCAAAAAUAUGAUUUGGAAGACUUAACCAUACAACAAACACAAUAACGAUAACAG
Long non-coding RNA from Sinocyclocheilus anshuiensis, 370 nucleotides. RefSeq lists it as uncharacterized. Lineage: Eukaryota; Metazoa; Chordata; Actinopteri; Cypriniformes; Cyprinidae. The transcript has 3 exons. The record is from RefSeq and is a predicted model, not a curated record.